RNAcentral lists this ribosomal RNA (497 nucleotides) under uncultured bacterium. RNAcentral's name for it is "partial 16S ribosomal RNA". It matches the Rfam family "Bacterial small subunit ribosomal RNA", at positions 28 to 507 of the family's 1533-position model. The record is from RNAcentral.
GAUGAACGCUGGCGGCGUGCCUAAUACAUGCAAGUCGAGCGAACAGACGAGGAGCUUGCUCCUCUGACGUUAGCGGCGGACGGGUGAGUAACACGUGGAUAACCUACCUAUAAGACUGGGAUAACUUCGGGAAACCGGAGCUAAUACCGGAUAAUAUAUUGAACCGCAUGGUUCAAUAGUGAAAGACGGUUUUGCUGUCACUUAUAGAUGGAUCCGCGCCGCAUUAGCUAGUUGGUAAGGUAACGGCUUACCAAGGCGACGAUGCGUAGCCGACCUGAGAGGGUGAUAGGCCACAAUGGAACUGAGACACGGUCCAGACUCCUACGGGAGGCAGCAGUAGGGAAUCUUCCGCAAUGGGCGAAAGCCUGACGGAGCAACGCCGCGUGAGUGAUGAAGGUCUUCGGAUCGUAAAACUCUGUUAUUAGGGAAGAACAAAUGUGUAAGUAACUAUGCACGUCUUGACGGUACCUAAUCAGAAAGCCACGGCUAACUACGUG